AACGUUGUAGACCACAGGGAUUGCCCUAGUAACGGCGAGUGAAGCGGCAACAGCUCAAAUUUGAAAUCUGGCCUUCGGGUCCGAGUUGUAAUUUGUAGAGGAUGCUUUUGGCGCGGUGCCUUCCGAGUUCCCUGGAAUGGGACGCCUUAGAGGGUGAGAGCCCCGUAUGGUUGGACACCAAGCCUCUGUAAAGCUCCUUCGACGAGUCGAGUAGUUUGGGAAUGCUGCUCUAAAUGGGAGGUAAAUUUCUUCUAAAGCUAAAUAUUGGCCAGAGACCGAUAGCGCACAAGUAGAGUGAUCGAAAGAUGAAAAGCACUUUGAAAAGAGGGUUAAAUAGCACGUGAAAUUGUUGAAAGGGAAGCGUUUGCGACCAGACCUUUUCGUAGCGGAUCAUCCGGUGUUCUCACCGGUGCACUUCGCUUCGUUUAGGCCAGCAUCGGUUUCUGUAGGGGGAUAAAAGCCUGGGGAACGUAGCUCCCUCGGGAGUGUUAUAGCCCCUCGCAUAAUACCCUUACGGGGACCGAGGACCGCGCUUUAUGCAAGGAUGCUGGCGUAAUGGUCGUCAACGACCCGUCUUGAAACACGGACCAAGGAGUCGAACAUUUAUGCGAGUGUUUGGGUGUUAAACCCUCACGCGUAAUGAAAGUGAACGGAGGUGAGAGCCCUUACGGGUGCAUCAUCGACCGAUCCUGAUGUCUUCGGAUGGAUUUGAGUAAGAGCAUAACUGUUCGGACCCGAAAGAUGGUGAACUAUGCGUGGAUAGGGUGAAGCCAGAGGAAACUCUGGUGGAGGCUCGCAGCGGUUCUGACGUGCAAAUCGAUCGUCAAAUCUGCGCAUGGGGGCGAAAGACUUAUCGAACCAUCUAGUAGCUGGUUACCGCCGAAGUUUCCCUCASGAUAGCAGUGUUGUUCUUCAGUUUUAUGAGGUAAAGCGAAUGAUUAGGGACUCGGGGGCGCUUUUUAGCCUUCAUCCAUUCUCAAACUUUAAAUAUGUAAGAAGCCCUUGUUACUUAAUUGAACGUGGGCAUUCGAAUGUACCAACACUAGUGGGCCCAUUUUUGGUAAGCAGAACUGGCGAUGCGGGAUGAACCGAACGCGGGGUUAAGGUGCCGGAGUGGACGCUCAUCAGACACCACAAAAGGUGUUAGCACAUUUAGACAAUAGGACGGUGGCCCAUGGAAGUCGGAAUCCGCUAAGGACUGUGUAACAACUCACCUAUCGAAUGUGCUAGCCCUGAAAAUGGAUGGCGCUCAAGCGUCCCACCCAUACCUCGCCCUCAGGGUAGAAACGAUGCCCUGAGGAGUAGGCGGCCGUGGGGGUCAGUGACGAAGCCUAGGGCGGA
This 1341-nucleotide ribosomal RNA is filed under the name Xylaria sp. 5146. RNAcentral describes it as "eukaryotic LSU rRNA". It matches the Rfam family "Eukaryotic large subunit ribosomal RNA", at positions 49 to 1419 of the family's 3401-position model. The record is from RNAcentral. Lineage: Eukaryota; Fungi; Ascomycota; Sordariomycetes; Xylariales; Xylariaceae.